UUAUUAUUAUUAUUAUUAAAUAGUCUAAGGGUUGCAUACACAGGCCUACUCUUAGCAGUUUCAACAAAUAAAAAGAUAGCACACAUUUUGGCAGCCAUAAAAAUGACAAGUACAUAAAGUGAAUUGUCACGAUUAGUUUAUAUUUUCCGAUGAAAUCAAUCCAAGCAUCUUUAAUCUUCUACUAUAAUUUAAAUUGUAAAUUCUAUAAAUAAAAUGUUAAACUCUAUCAAAUGUAUAAAAUCUAUAAAAAUCGAUAUCUAUAAAAUAUCUAAAAUGUACAGUUUCCUGAGGCCCACAAAAUUAUCAGUCAUAUUACUGUCUGUGUUAUUUUGUGACGUACAGUAGUAGUACUGACUGUAAUGACUGUGAUGACAGUAAUGAUUGUAAUGAUUGACUUCGUUAACAAAAAUCUCCUUGUCUAUUGUAGUGAAUUACAAUUGAAGACAAAACAAAAAAAUGUUCGAGGAUGUGGAAAAAAAAUAUGUGGAUGAGAGGGGAAAAUAUUUGCUGAUAUGGAUUAAAAAUCAAAUCUAGACAGCAAAAUGCCGAAGUAAAUUAUUAAGCGGUUCACAGUGUAAUUGUGUACAACACACACACACACACACACACACACACAUACACCAGAAUGAAAAGUAAGUAACUUCGUAUAUAUUCAUAAAUGUAGCUCUCAACAUCACAGAAAAUCUCACAAAAUUUACAAAAAUCUUUUCUGUUUAGCCUAGGGAUUGUAGAGCAUAUCUUUACAGACACGACCAACGAGGAUUUAAAAUGUACCUUGAAAGAAAGAAAGAAAGAAUUUCGCCUUCCGUUAAAACUGCGUCAUUAUGUCACGUUGUGCUAGUAAUAUUUUUAGCGAUAUGUUUUUAAUAGGAAACGUUUUGCAACAUAAAAAAUUGUGAAUAUAUAUUUGACCAGCAUUAGUCUAAAUAUUCCGGAAAUGUUUACUAAGGCCUGAGCAGGACUGUGUCUGAAGCCCUACAGGGCUGAUGGAUGAUUCCGACUGCAUGUCGCUUUUCCUGAAUUAAUACUCCUGAAUCCCCUCCUACUGUAUUCAAAGACAUCCGGUUGGACACAAAUGGAGCGCUAAUUCAACGCUGUAGAUUUGUAUAUGUGCUCCUGAGUAGCACCCCUGUUUUCCAUUGUCCUGUGGUACAUUCCAUACUGUAAAUUAUAGGCAUGCAGCCAUGGAGAAUGCCAUUACGGAGACAAGCAUCCGGGCUGUGUGCAUGCUUGUGUGAGAUAAAGUAGGCCUGCAGAUUUAAAGAGGAAUUGAGUUCUGGAUUGUGACUUUUCCAGGGGAAAUGCAGGAUGGGUAGAUUAUAACAGGGUAUGAGAUAUGUGAAAACAAGUAAAGCAAAUCAGUGGUAUUUUUUUUUAAUAGUGAUUUGACUCCUACAUUGUCAUUUGGACUGAGACAUUGUAGCUACGUGGUGUUAAUUCAGCACUGUGGAUUUUGAGUUUAGACCUUUGCUGGUUUCGGUUUAUAGCGUUCCUAUAUAUCCUGGAAGUUCAGAAUCACGGUCAAUGUUAUUUCCACCUCAGAAUCAUUGUGUAGUCAUUUUACUGUCAUGCUAAUGACCACCAUUCAUGUUGAUUUUUAUGUGCGAUCCUAGAGAGCUUAGAGACCGAAAAUCACUGACUAUCAUUUUUUACGUGGGUUUUUUUUUUCUUCUUCUUUUUUUUUAAGUGAAGCAGGUUUUGUGGAUUAAAGUAAUGUAGAAAGCAGGAAAAUUUCAAUUUAGUGUCAUGGUAAAUGAUGUGCUUUGUUAAGUGUGUGUGCGUGUGUGUGUGUGUGUGUGUGUGUAUGAGAGAGAGAGAGUGAGAGAGAGAGAGUGAGAGAGAGCGAGAGAGAGAGAGAGGCGGGGACACAGGGACCAAGGACAGCAGUGGUGAGAGCACUCGCUCUGCUUCCUCCACUCGAUCUCGAUAGUCUGUGUGUGUGUGUGUGUGUGUGUGUGCGUUUUCUUCCUCACGCAUAACGGCAUCAUUUGUUACUGAGGCAAGAGCGAAUAGAGCGACACUCUGCUUUUGCCGGCUUGGGGAUCAGGAUAACGCGGAUUUUGCGCAUUUGGCGCUACUGAGAAGUGCUUUUGUUACCAAGUCAAGAUCAUUCAUCAGCUGCGUGACUAGGCUCAACAUUGCAGAAAAGAGAGUAUGAGAAGAAAAAAAAGAGAGUGGGAGGCAGAGAUGAAGUCCAACAUCGCCACCGGCUCUCUUCCUCCUCUGCAAGUCCGUCUCUCCAUCGCAGGAAAGGGUGGGAGUGCACUAAGGCCAGCCAGGGUGAGGCGUCAUGGGCUUGAGAAGCAUCCUGAACCCCGCUCGGUCAACAGCACCUCUGGAGCUCAGAACUCAGAUAGAAAUCAAUACAGGGAAAGAGAGACUGAUGCUGGAUCACCCAACCUAGCCCUGAGCCUGCAGGCCAGAUGACCUCCCACACACACAUGGUCAUACACGCUGACACACAUACAAAUACAUACUGACAUACAGCUAUACUAUCACACACACUCAUGACUACCACACACCUACACAUGCAUGUGUUUGUGGGUCUGGUUUUCCUCGAGGCUGUGUUAUUUUGGAGAAACCUCUACAAUCCAAACAGGCCUCAAUUAUUUUUUCGUGAAGAUGGCAAAGGUCCUCGCUUUGUGUUUCCCCCACUUUUGUGCCAUUUCUCUACUUGUGUCUGUCCAUGUCACCUUCCACCUCUAUGUGGCAAGAAAAAUCAUUCAAAUAUAUCAAAUAUCUACAAGGAUGGACUUCUUCCCCUGAGCAUCUCAUUGCUUAUUCAGUGGCAAGACUUGAAAGAGGAAAGCAGCUGUAUCACGUCCUGCUGUGCUCCACAACUCUGCACCAGAAACUCACUAUGCCUCUUCCGUAAUAGCCACUUCUUUCACAACCAACCAGCUCACAAGAUAGUCAGCAAAAGGGACACGUUCUGGUUCCUGAAUAUGGUGUGGACUUAACAAGAGACACAGCGUAAGAGACUGAGGAGCAAGCUGCUCAAAAAGGAAGAACAGCUGAGAAACUGAGGAAGAACAGCUGCUCAAAAAGUGAAUUCUUCAGCUAAGAUCGCUUACCUCAGUGAUAUAGACGAGGACAGGAGUGUGUGAUGAGACAGACAGCACUAUAGUGAAGACAGUGAUGUUCAGCUGCUCUCAUUCUGCUCGAAAACAGUGAGAGGAAAACACAGAUCAGAAUAUCACUGUGGGACUCGAGAGAUUUUUGUGAAGUACAAAAUGAGUUUCUGCUGAACUUACCUUUGCUCUCAGGCUGCUUUUGAUUAAUAACAUGGACAUUUCAUCAUGGCAUUUUUGUUCUCCGGGUUAUUUCAGAAAACUGGGCUGGCUACAAGAGGUAAGUAGAUAAAAAAAGUGGUAAGUAAUAUGCAUUAUUGAAAAAGAACCUAUGCAGAGAAGUUUAAAUUUUAUAUAUAUAAAUUAACAAAUGAUGCCAUAUGUGUGUACUUCUAUAUCUAUAUACUUCUAUCUAUAUGUUUUUAUUUUUAUUUAUUAAUUUUCACAAUUAAAAAAAGAUUCUUUCUAACUUGAUGUUAAUGUUAUGCGAUUUUUAAUAAAGUUUUUGAAUUCCA
Molecule: long non-coding RNA, 3586 nt
Organism: Pangasianodon hypophthalmus (striped catfish)
Lineage: Eukaryota; Metazoa; Chordata; Actinopteri; Siluriformes; Pangasiidae
Exons: 4
Source: RefSeq, a predicted model, not a curated record